GUUAACUGAAUACAUAGGUUAACGAGGCGAACCGGGGGAACUGAAACAUCUAAGUACCCCGAGGAAAAGAAAUCAACCGAGAUUCCCCCAGUAGCGGCGAGCGAACGGGGAGCAGCCCAGAGUCUGAAUCAGCUUGUGUGUUAGUGGAACGGUCUGGAAAGUCCGACGGUACAGGGUGAUAGUCCCGUACACCAAAAUGCACAGGCUGUGAACUCGAAGAGUAGGGCGGGACACGUGGUAUCCUGUCUGAAUAUGGGGGGACCAUCCUCCAAGGCUAAAUACUCCUGACUGACCGAUAGUGAACCAGUACCGUGAGGGAAAGGCGAAAAGAACCCCGGCGAGGGGAGUGAAAAAGAACCUGAAACCGUGUACGUACAAGCAGUGGGAGCACCUUCGGGUGUGACUGCGUACCUUUUGUAUAAUGGGUCAGCGACUUAUAUUCUGUAGCAAGGUUAACCGUAUAGGGGAGCCGCAGGGAAACCGAGUCUUAACUGGGCGUUAAGUUGCAGGGUAUAGACCCGAAACCCGGUGAUCUAGCCAUGGGCAGGUUGAAGGUUGGGUAACACUAACUGGAGGACCGAACCGACUAAUGUUGAAAAAUUAGCGGAUGACUUGUGGCUGGGGGUGAAAGGCCAAUCAAACCGGGAGAUAGCUGGUUCUCCCCGAAAGCUAUUUAGGUAGCGCCUCGUGAACUCAUCUUCGGGGGUAGAGCACUGUUUCGGCUAGGGGGUCAUCCCGACUUACCAACCCGAUGCAAACUACGAAUACCGAAGAAUGUUAUCACGGGAGACACACGGCGGGUGCUAACGUCCGUCGUGAAGAGGGAAACAACCCAGACCGCCAGCUAAGGUCCCAAAGUCAUGGUUAAGUGGGAAACGAUGUGGGAAGGCACAGACAGCCAGGAUGUUGGCUUAGAAGCAGCCAUCAUUUAAAGAAAGCGUAAUAGCUCACUGGUCGAGUCGGCCUGCGCGGAAGAUGUAACGGGGCUAAACCAUGCACCGAAGCUGCGGCAGCGACACUAUGUGUUGUUGGGUAGGGGAGCG
This 1043-nucleotide ribosomal RNA is filed under the name Klebsiella pneumoniae. Its description in RNAcentral is "partial 23S ribosomal RNA". It matches the Rfam family "Bacterial large subunit ribosomal RNA", at positions 153 to 1238 of the family's 2925-position model. The record is from RNAcentral. Lineage: Bacteria; Pseudomonadati; Pseudomonadota; Gammaproteobacteria; Enterobacterales; Enterobacteriaceae.